GUGGGGAAUAUUGCGCAAUGGGGGAAACCCUGACGCAGCCACGCCGCGUGGGUGAUGAAGGCCUUCGGGUUGUAAAGCCCUGUCGGGGGGGACGAAUUUUGACGGUACCCUCCAAGAAAGCACCGGCUAACUCCGUGCCAGCAGCCGCGGUAAUACGGAGGGUGCGAGCGUUGCUCGGAAUCACUGGGCGUAAAGCGUACGCAGGCUGCUGCGCAAGUCGGGUGUGAAAGCCCGGGGCUCAACCCCGGAAUUGCGCCCGAGACUGCGCGGCUUGAGUGCGGGAGAGGAAAGCGGAAUUCCUGGUGUAGAGGUGAAAUUCGUAGAUAUCAGGAGGAACACCAGUGGCGAAAGCGGCUUUCUGGCCCGAUACUGACGCUCAUGUACGAAAGCGCGGGGAGCAAACAGGAUUAGAUACCCUGGUAGUCC
RNAcentral lists this ribosomal RNA (426 nucleotides) under uncultured bacterium. RNAcentral's name for it is "bacterial SSU rRNA". It matches the Rfam family "Bacterial small subunit ribosomal RNA", at positions 354 to 796 of the family's 1533-position model. The record is from RNAcentral.